AACCUAACUUCUUCCACCGAAACCUCCCUUCACGAAAUUAACCUAGCCUCUCCACCAAAACUCCAAAACUCAUCUCCGCCGAAACCAACCUUCACCCCUCCAUCCAUCGACCAACUCCCACGUCUCCACCGUCAGCCGGCCGGCCACCAUCCCUCAUUCUGUCUUCUCCAAUCAAGCAGAGACCCAACAUCAUCUUCUCGACGCCAACAUAAGUUGUUGUCUUCUUCUCUAUCUUCCUCCUUUCCUACAUUCGGCCAACCACCUCCUCUCUAUCACCGCCGGUGGAGCUACUUACUCUCAUCUCUCCUGUUCAGGUUAGAAGAGGAGAGGCCAUAACUUCCUUUCAGCAGCCACCGCUCUUCCAUCCAUCAUCCGAAAACUUCUACUUAGGUUAGAGGAGGAACUGAAGCCUUCCCCUUUCUCUCUUCGGGUUAGAAGAGAGGAAGCUCCACUCCUACUUCCGGAAGAGGAAAGCUUUAUACCUACCACCGACAGCCCCCAUUCCCUCUCCACUUCCGGUUAGAAGUGGAGAGUUCAUUUCCUCCACUCCGGCAGCCCUUCAUCGUCUCCAAACAGCUUGCUCCACUCUGGCAGCCCUCCAUAUUCCAUCUUCUGGUUAGAAGAGGGGAAGAGGUCACUUCUAGACAACCACUACAUCUGAAGGGACCACUAGGAAAAACACCAAAUUACCCAUUUCAACUGAUGCUCAAUUGAGAACAAUGCGAAAGGGAUCUGACGACCAUCUUGUUUUAAACAUCGAGUCUGGGUCUGAUCAUUCAAUUGCAGCAAAGUCUGAUGCUAAAGGUCUAGUGAAAAUAUUGAAGAAGUAUGACAAGAGAACAAGAGCACUUAUCAGGCAUCCCUUCAUCGAAAAGGUGUCGCAGCAGCCAUUCUUUACAACUGAUCUCCUAUACAAACUCGUGAAGGAGUGUGUGGCUAUGCUCGACCAUCUCUUCCCCAGCAACAACCUGUCAAUUUCAGCAGAAUGCGAUGGACAAAAUGGAGUGCCAAAGCCGGCAUAAUCAGGUGGGAGGGUUCCGGUUGGAGGAGAUUAAAUAUAUGCAGAGCUUAUACAUGAAGAGCACCGUAGCAGCGCUGCGGUCCUUGAAACAGAUUAGGAGCAAAAGUUCAACAGUCAAAACAGAUUAGAAAAUCUUGUGUUAUAUUGUUCUACCUUUGUUUUAAUAGUGUUAUCAUUUUGUUGGUUGCUUAUGAAAUUUUGUUGGUUGCUUAUGAAAUUUC
RNA transcript from Zingiber officinale, 1242 nucleotides. It is a transcript of the gene named receptor-like protein 47, with no coding region annotated. The record is from RefSeq and is a predicted model, not a curated record. NCBI's taxonomy places the organism in Eukaryota, Viridiplantae, Streptophyta, Magnoliopsida, Zingiberales, Zingiberaceae. The transcript is spliced from 4 exons.